UCGAGAAUCAUUCACAAUGGGGGAAACCCUGAUGGUGCGACGCCGCGUGGGGGAAGAAGGUCUUCGGAUUGUAAACCCCUGUCAUGUGGGAGCAAAGGAAACUGAUAGUACCACAAGAGGAAGAGACGGCUAACUCUGUGCCAGCAGCCGCGGUAAUACAGAGGUCUCAAGCGUUGUUCGGAAUCACUGGGCGUAAAGAGUACGUAGGCUGUUAUGUAAGUCAGGCGUGAAAGGCAGGGGCUCAACCUCUGGACUGCGCCUGAUACUGCGUGACUUGAGUAAUGGAGGGGGAACCGGAAUUCUCGGUGUAGCAGUGAAAUGCGUAGAUAUCGAGAGGAACACUCGUGGCGAAGGCGGGUUCCUGGACAUUAACUGACGCUGAGGUACGAAGGCUAGGGGAGCGAAAG
RNAcentral lists this ribosomal RNA (407 nucleotides) under uncultured Akkermansia sp. Its description in RNAcentral is "partial 16S ribosomal RNA". It matches the Rfam family "Bacterial small subunit ribosomal RNA", at positions 355 to 774 of the family's 1533-position model. Lineage: Bacteria; Pseudomonadati; Verrucomicrobiota; Verrucomicrobiia; Verrucomicrobiales; Akkermansiaceae. The record is from RNAcentral.